CCUACGAGAGGCUGCAGUGAGGAAUAUUGGUCAAUGGGCGCGAGCCUGAACCAGCCAAGUAGCGUGAAGGAUGACUGCCCUACGGGUUGUAAACUUCUUUUAUAAAGGAAUAAAGUGAGGCACGUGUGCCUUUUUGUAUGUACUUUAUGAAUAAGGAUCGGCUAAGUCCGUGCCAGCAGCCGCGGUAAUACGGAGGAUCCGAGUGUUAUCCGGAUUUAUUGGGUUUAAAGGGAGCGUAGAUGGGUUGUUAAGUCAGUUGUGAAAGUUUGCGGCUCAACCGUAAAAUUGCAAGUGAUACUGGCAGUCUUGAGUACAGUUGAGGUAGGCGGAAUUCGUGGUGUAGCGGUGAAAUGCUUAGAUAUCACGAAGAACUCCGAUUGCGAAGGCAGCUUACUAAACUGCCACUGACAUUGAUGCUCGAAAGUGUGGGUAUCAAACAGGAUUAGAUACCCCGGUAGUC
This 460-nucleotide ribosomal RNA is filed under the name uncultured bacterium. RNAcentral's name for it is "partial 16S ribosomal RNA". It matches the Rfam family "Bacterial small subunit ribosomal RNA", at positions 338 to 795 of the family's 1533-position model. The record is from RNAcentral.